GAUGAACGCUGGCGGCGUGCCUAAUACAUGCAAGUCGAGCGAACAGACGAGGAGCUUGCUCCUCUGACGUUAGCGGCGGACGGGUGAGUAACACGUGGAUAACCUACCUAUAAGACUGGGAUAACUUCGGGAAACCGGAGCUAAUACCGGAUAAUAUAUUGAACCGCAUGGUUCAAUAGUGAAAGACGGUUUUGCUGUCACUUAUAGAUGGAUCCGCGCCGCAUUAGCUAGUUGGUAAGGUAACGGCUUACCAAGGCAACGAUGCGUAGCCGACCUGAGAGGGGGAUCGGCCACACUGGAACUGAGAACCGGUCCAGACUCCUACGGGAGGCAGCAGUAGGGAAUCUUCCGCAAUGGGCGAAAGCUUGACGGAGCAACGCCGCGUGAGUGAUGAAGGUCUUCGGAUCGUAAAACUCUGUUAUUAGGGAAGAACAAAUGUGUAAGUAACUAUGCACGUCUUGACGGUACCUAAUCAGAAAGCCACGGCUAACUACGUG
RNAcentral lists this ribosomal RNA (497 nucleotides) under uncultured bacterium. Its description in RNAcentral is "partial 16S ribosomal RNA". It matches the Rfam family "Bacterial small subunit ribosomal RNA", at positions 28 to 507 of the family's 1533-position model. The record is from RNAcentral.